Molecule: long non-coding RNA, 624 nt
Filed under: Homo sapiens (human)
Lineage: Eukaryota; Metazoa; Chordata; Mammalia; Primates; Hominidae
Description: non-protein coding lnc-CPT1B-1:3
Source: RNAcentral
CAGAGCCAGAAAAUGCUGACAGCCUCAUGCUGGUGGACUUCGAGUACAGCAGUUAUAACUAUAGGGGCUUUGACAUUGGGAACCAUUUUUGUGAGUGGGUUUAUGAUUAUACUCACGAGGAAUGGCCUUUCUACAAAGCAAGGCCCACAGACUACCCCACUCAAGAACAGCAGAGGCAAAGAAAGGUGAGACCCUCUCCCAAGAGGAGCAGAGAAAACUGGAAGAAGAUUUGCUGGUAGAAGUCAGUCGGUAUGCUCUGGCAUCCCAUUUCUUCUGGGGUCUGUGGUCCAUCCUCCAGGCAUCCAUGUCCACCAUAGAAUUUGGUUACUUGGACUAUGCCCAGUCUCGGUUCCAGUUCUACUUCCAGCAGAAGGGGCAGCUGACCAGUGUCCACUCCUCAUCCUGACUCCACCCUCCCACUCCUUGGAUUUCUCCUGGAGCCUCCAGGGCAGGACCUUGGAGGGAGGAACAACGAGCAGAAGGCCCUGGCGACUGGGCUGAGCCCCCAAGUGAAACUGAGGUUCAGGAGACCGGCCUGUUCCUGAGUUUGAGUAGGUCCCCAUGGCUGGCAGGCCAGAGCCCCGUGCUGUGUAUGUAACACAAUAAACAAGCUUCUUCUUCCCA